RNAcentral lists this ribosomal RNA (422 nucleotides) under uncultured archaeon. RNAcentral describes it as "partial 16S ribosomal RNA". It matches the Rfam family "Archaeal small subunit ribosomal RNA", at positions 323 to 746 of the family's 1478-position model. The record is from RNAcentral.
CUACGGGAUGCUGCAGGCGAGAAAACUUUGCAAUGUGCGAAAGCACGACAAGGUUAAUCCGAGUGGUUUCUGCUAAAGGAACCUUUUGACAGUCCUAGAAACACUGUUGAAUAAGGGGUGGGCAAGUUCUGGUGUCAGCCGCCGCGGUAAAACCAGCACCUCAAGUGGUCAGGAUGAUUAGUGGGCCUAAAGCAUCCGUAGCCGGCUCUGUAAGUUUUCGGUUAAAUCUGUACGCUCAACGUACAGGCUGCCGGGAAUACUGCAGAGCUAGGGAGUGGGAGAGGUAGACGGUACUCGGUAGGAAGGGGUAAAAUCCUUUGAUCUAUUGAUGACCACCUGUGGCGAAGGCGGUCUACCAGAACACGUCCGACGGUGAGGGAUGAAAGCUGGGGGAGCAAACCGGAUUAGAUACCCUUGUAGUC